UCCGAAGGGGGCAAGCGUUGUUCGGAAUCAUUGGGCGUAAAGGGCGCGUAGGCGGGCUUGUAAGUCGGUUGUGAAAUCCCUAGGCUCAACCUGGGAAUUGCAUUCGAAACUGCAAGUCUUGAGUUCUUGAGAGGAUGGUGGAAUUCCUGGAGUAGUAGUGAAAUACGUAGAUAUCAGGAGGAACACCGGAGGCGAAGGCGGGCAUCUGGCGAGACACUGACGCUAAGGCGCGAAAGCGUGGGUAGCAAACAGG
This 253-nucleotide ribosomal RNA is filed under the name uncultured bacterium. RNAcentral describes it as "partial 16S ribosomal RNA". It matches the Rfam family "Bacterial small subunit ribosomal RNA", at positions 524 to 776 of the family's 1533-position model. The record is from RNAcentral.